This 1291-nucleotide long non-coding RNA is filed under the name Helianthus annuus (common sunflower). RNAcentral's name for it is "hypothetical non coding rna". Lineage: Eukaryota; Viridiplantae; Streptophyta; Magnoliopsida; Asterales; Asteraceae. The record is from RNAcentral.
AUGAUCUGUGAUGGGACUGGGGAGAUGAUGGUUGUGUUUUUAGAAUUUUGCGGUGGGGGAGUGAGGAGGUGAUGGUUGUGUUUUUGGAAUUUUUGUUCACGUAAGAUGGCUACCAAGACGAUUUUUAUGUUUAUUUCAUAGAAAAGUUGUAAAAAUUCAUAGAAAAGUUGUAAAAAUGUUAAAAGGUUAUAUAACGUAAGUUAUCUUUAUUUCUAGGGUUAUCGUAUUUGAAUAGCCUCAACUUUCAUCGUUUGGUCGAUUGCAUUCUUAACUUACGAAUUGUAGCACGUCACUCCCAACUUUCAACUUAUUUUCCUCUUGCUCUUCCAAACUAAUUGAACCCUAACCUAAUUAGUUUUUUUCACUGGCAUGGCACUUAUGUGGUGACGUGGCCUAUUUAAUGACGCGGCAUCUUAUAUGACACUUAUUUAGUGAUGUGAUAUCUGACGUGGCACUUGUUUAUUGACGUAACAUUUGACGCUAGAUAACUGGGUUAGGGUUCAGUUAGUUUGAGAAUGACAGAGGAAAAUAAGUUUAAAGUUUGGAGUGGUGUGAUAAAAUUCGUAAGUUGAGAGUAUUAUCGACCAAAUGAUGAAAGUUUAAGUUAUUUAAAUCUAUUAUUCCUUAUUUCUAAUUACAUAAUCUUUAAACGUAAUUUAUUGUAUUUAUUUAUGCAAUAUUAAUAGGGUGUUAAUAAAGCCACAACCCAAAAUUUAUUUUCACACUCUCUAUAUAGGUCGUAUAGGGUUAUACGACCCGUAUAAAAAAAUCUGAGAUGACAAAUAUUGAGUCGUAUAAUGCUUUACAUAAUGCUUUACGGCUCGUAUAAUGUUAUAUGACUCGUAUAGAUAGAGAAAAUAUUAAGUCAUGUAACAUUCUAUACUGGCUGUAUAACAUUAUACUAAUUGUAUAACAUUAUAUGAGAUUUGGGUCGUAUAACAUUGUAUACGGGUCGUAUAAUGUUAAGGCUCAUAUACAUAAAGACAAAAAAUAUUCUCUAACAUUUUUUGUACAAGAUUCUCCUAUAUUACCCGUAUAACUAAAUCGUAUAGCUGUAAGGGUGUGAAAAUAAGAUUUUUUGGAUGCGGGAAUAAUGGAAGCCUAUUAAUUACUACAUACUUUAUUAUAGUAACUUGGUUAUGAAAUAUAAAUGUAAAAGUCGAUGAUAAUGUAAAAUGUAUAAGGAUAUUUUUCUGGGAAUUUUUUUUCAUUUCAGUAAUGUAUAUAUGACUACACAUUUGUGAGUAAGCAUUAUCUAUAAGUGGAGAUGCUCUAAUAUAUUGGUUUGAGU